UUAAAGAGUUCUAUAACUCCCAAACCCAUGUGAACAUACCUAACGUUGCCUCGGCAGGUCGCACCUACCUUGUAGCACCCUACCCUGUAGCACCUACCCGGGAGGUGCGGGUAAGCCUGCCGGCGGCCCACCAAACUCUGUUUGAUAUUGAAUUCUGAACCUAUAACUAAAUAAGUUAAAACUUUCAACAACGGAUCUCUUGGUUCUGGCAUCGAUGAAGAACGCAGCGAAAUGCGAUAAGUAAUGUGAAUUGCAGAAUUCAGUGAAUCAUCGAAUCUUUGAACGCAUAUUGCGCCCAUUAGUAUUCUAGUGGGCAGGACCGUUCGAGCGUCAUUUCAACCCUUAAGCCUUCGUUGCUUAGUGUUGGGAGCCUACGGCAACGUAGCUCCUCAAAGUUAGUGGCGGAGUUGGUUCACACUCUAGACGUAGUAAUUUUUUAUCUCGCCUAUUAGUUGGACUAAUCCCCUGCCGUAAAACCCCCAAUUUAUAUCAAGGUUGACCUCGAAUCGGUUCAGACAAACUCGCUAAAUUGAAGCAUCUUAGUCAGCGAAGGAAAAGAAACCAACAGGGAUUGCCCUAGUAACGGCGAGUGAAGCGGCAACAGCUCAAAUUUGAAAUCUGGCCCUCGGGU
This 631-nucleotide ribosomal RNA is filed under the name fungal endophyte. Its description in RNAcentral is "eukaryotic LSU rRNA". The stretch from base 180 to 333 matches the Rfam family "5.8S ribosomal RNA". Lineage: Eukaryota; Fungi. The record is from RNAcentral.